This 468-nucleotide ribosomal RNA is filed under the name uncultured bacterium. RNAcentral's name for it is "partial 16S ribosomal RNA". It matches the Rfam family "Bacterial small subunit ribosomal RNA", at positions 28 to 507 of the family's 1533-position model. The record is from RNAcentral.
GACGAACGCUGGCGGCGUGCUUAACACAUGCAAGUCGAACGGAAAGGCCCUGCUUUUGUGGGGUGCUCAAGGGGCGAACGGGUGAGUAACACGUGAGUAACCUGCCCUUGACUUUGGGAUAACUUCAGGAAACUGGGGCAAAUACCGGAUAGGAGCUCCUGCUGCAUGGUGGGGGUUGGAAAGUUUCGGCGGUUGGGGAUGGACUCGCGGCUUAUCAGCUUGUUUGUGGGGUGGUGGCUCACCAAGGCUUUGACGGGUAGCCGGCCUGAGAGGGUGACCGGCCACAUUGGGACUGAGAUACGGCCCAGACUCCUACGGGAGGCAGCAGUGGGGAAUAUUGCACAAUGGGCGGAAGCCUGAUGCAGCAACGCCGCGUGCGGGAUGACGGCCUUCGGGUUGUAAACCGCUUUCGCCUGUGACGAAGCGUGAGUGACGGUAAUGGGUAAAGAAGCACCGGCUAACUACGUG